This 210-nucleotide long non-coding RNA is filed under the name Nicotiana benthamiana. RNAcentral's name for it is "long non-coding RNA (NBEN_LNC016562)". The record is from RNAcentral. Lineage: Eukaryota; Viridiplantae; Streptophyta; Magnoliopsida; Solanales; Solanaceae.
GAGUUUCGAGAUUUUAGGGUUUGGGUUGGUUUUGAGAUUGAAGAUUCAAGAGAUUCUGAAAGGAUUUGGGGGAAUCUAAUUAGGGAUUUGGAUAGGGGAAGUCAUUGGGGUGUUUGUGUUGUAAAUUUGCGGCUGAUUUGAGGUGGCGGCGGCACCGGUGGUGGUGGAGAAUUCGAGGGCGGCGGAUGUUUUUUAGGGUUUGGGUUCUCU